GAUGAACGCUGGCUGCGUACUUAACACAUGCAAGUCGAGCGAGUGAGUUCUUCGGAACGAUCUAGCGGCGGACGGGUGAGUAACACGUGGGCAACCUGCCUCAUAGAGGGGGAUAGCCUCCUGAAAGGGAGAUUAAUACCGCAUAAAAUUAUCGAGUGGCAUCACAUGAUAAUCAAAGGAGUAAUCCGCUAUGAGAUGGGCCCGCGGCGCAUUAGCUAGUUGGUGAGGUAACGGCUCACCAAGGCGACGAUGCGUAGCCGACCUGAGAGGGUGAUCGGCCACCUUGGGACUGAGACACGGCCCAGACUCCUACGGGAGGCAGCAGUGGGGAAUAUUGCACAAUGGGGGAAACCCUGAUGCAGCAACGCCGCGUGAGUGAUGAAGGUCUUCGGAUUGUAAAGCUCUGUCUUUGGGGACGAUAAUGACGGUACCCAAGGAGGAAGCCACGGCUAACUACGUGCCAGCCGCCGCCGUAA
RNAcentral lists this ribosomal RNA (476 nucleotides) under uncultured bacterium. RNAcentral's name for it is "partial 16S ribosomal RNA". It matches the Rfam family "Bacterial small subunit ribosomal RNA", at positions 28 to 523 of the family's 1533-position model. The record is from RNAcentral.